Molecule: transfer RNA, 71 nt
Filed under: Camelus bactrianus (Bactrian camel)
Lineage: Eukaryota; Metazoa; Chordata; Mammalia; Artiodactyla; Camelidae
Also listed under: 3 other names
Rfam family: tRNA
About the family: Transfer RNA (tRNA) molecules are approximately 80 nucleotides in length.
Source: Rfam by way of RNAcentral
GGGUGUAGCUCAGUGGUAGAGUGUGUGCUUAGCAUGCACAAGGGUCCUGAGUUCAAUCCCCAGUACUUCCA